Molecule: long non-coding RNA, 1341 nt
Organism: Bombyx mori (domestic silkworm)
Lineage: Eukaryota; Metazoa; Arthropoda; Insecta; Lepidoptera; Bombycidae
Exons: 3
Source: RefSeq, a predicted model, not a curated record
ACCAUAUAAUCUCAUCUCAUUUCAUUUCAUUAACUUGAAAAACAAACAAUUCGUUGAAUUUUUCUUGGAUCAACAUUUGUCAAAUUGUAUCCAAAACAAAGUUGUUUGCGAAAUGCGUAGAAUAAUUUAUUUAUGUAUGUGCAGGCACGAGGUCAACCGAUCGACUAUUUGCGUCAAAGAGAAUUCAAUCGCUAAGUUUUAAUUUGCCUACGAAUUCUAAAUCAACUGAAUAUAUGAUAAUGACAAGCAAGACGUCAAAACGACACCCAUCAAAAUUGAGGUUGACAUUUUGAAUUAAUGGCGUACAAAAAUGAGAUCGCCUCAAUCAUUCCGGUCAAGUAUUGUAACAGAAAUUUCGUGACGUACAUUUUGCUUCUUUUUUUUACUAAGCGAUAUGUAUGUACUACAAUAUUUAGCUUAUUACCGGUUCGCAUUCGAAACAAGUCUUAAGCAUGAUAAAACUGUACACCAAUCGCUAACAAUGUUACUAUUACACGUGUGAAAUUAAGAAAAAAAUAUCUUAAUUUACCUCGAUAGCAGAAACAAAAGACAUCGAUUUAAGUAUUUUUGUGUAAAAUCCUAUAAAAUACCAAUCCUGUUGUAAGCUAUUUGAAGAUUAAUAAGUUUAAAAUAACUCUCCAUCACGGCGAAUGUAAUCCUUGAUUUAAUAUGCAAUUACGCUCAGAAUUCCGUAUGCAGGUAUUAUAAAACCACCGUUAAAGCCAAAGAGGCGGGCGACAGUCGGCGCCAGCCUCUAACGGACCGCGCCAAUGCCUUUUAAGGCUGAGCGAGAAAAAAAACGAAGCCACACUUUAAUUAGCGACCAAAGAUUUGUUAUUCCGAGUCAAGGGUAGUUAAAACAAGAUGAAGUACAGACAAAUAUAUAAAUGGGCACAUUGUCCCACAUGGUUGUAUGGCGCAAACCAGGAUCCCCUGUACCGUGGGAAUCGAACCUACCACGGUACGGACAUAAUGUUUAUAAAAAGAAAUUAUUAAUUUGUUCACAUAUGUCUCAUCACAUAUUCAUUCGUUAUUUAUAGCAUCAAUACUUAAAUAAAAUAAUAGAAUCCGGUGUGACAGUGCAUUAAAAAUAAAUAUAAUUAAUCAAAAGUUAAUAACUAAAGAAGUUCAAUAGAAGAAAAACCAGUGAUUUUUAUAAAUAUUUAUGUCUAUAUGUUUGUUCUAUCUGAUUCUAUCUGAACACAUCUUAGGUUAAAUUUCAACUUUGUAUUAUUAAAAUAUGAUGUUAUAAAAAAGCGAUCAUCGUUUCAAGGUUGUUGGAAUACAUUUUACACUGGCAGAAAUUCGUUGCAAAUAAAAAUAUAUAUAUGUAAUCCGAAA